This 200-nucleotide ribosomal RNA is filed under the name uncultured bacterium. Its description in RNAcentral is "partial 16S ribosomal RNA". It matches the Rfam family "Bacterial small subunit ribosomal RNA", at positions 8 to 208 of the family's 1533-position model. The record is from RNAcentral.
AGAGUUUGAUCAUGGCUCAGGACGAACGCUGGCGGCGUGCUUAACACAUGCAAGUCGAGCGGAGCUAUUAGCAAUAGUAGCUUAGCGGCGGACGGGUGAGUAACGCGUGGGCAACCUGCCUCAAUCAGGGGGAUAACACAGGGAAACUUGUGCUAAUACCGCAUAACAUCCUUAGAAGACAUCUUCUGGGGAUCAAAGGA